Molecule: small RNA, 4603 nt
Filed under: Rattus norvegicus (Norway rat)
Lineage: Eukaryota; Metazoa; Chordata; Mammalia; Rodentia; Muridae
Description: uncharacterized LOC102556834
Source: RNAcentral
AGAGCACAACGACCAACACAGAGACCCCAGAGUCUGGGUGAUGGAAGAGGAAGACAGAAAACAGUUUAUGCAACCUGUGAAAACACAGCACUCAGGAGCUGAGGCAGAGGCUCUCCAGUGUGGCUAGCCUGAACUACAGAGCAAGGUUCUGUCAACAGAGUGGGGUUAGGGGGAAAGGGACAGAGAAGAGGGAGGGAGGAGAGAAAAGAGAGAGUGUGAGUUUUCUCACCAAGUGUCUCUGGAGUCAAAGACAAUUCAAUCAAACUUUCUGAGGGCAGAAAUUGACAAGGUGAUUUAAAAGUUAUACAGACAUACAAAAGAUAUGAACUAGCAAGCUCUGAUUUUCAGGAAAGGUUGAAUGUUUUUGUCAUGCUAAAACCUCAAGUUCUCCGUGAAGCUGCAGUGACGAAAUCCAGUGCAGGUGCGUGCGGACAAUGGACUCACUGUGGCCAUGAAACACGGUCACUUUUGUUCCAAAAUCUGAUUCUUGACAAAGCCAAUAAAGGAAGGAAACAGUCUUAAACAAAUAGUUCUAGAAGAACAGGACAGUACUACAGGAAAAGAAUUCAAUGUCCAGUUCAUCACACAUGGCAAUGAAAGUAAGGUGGAUCAGAGACCUGGACACAAUUGCAGCUUCUGGGACCGGAUAUGGGAAAAUAGUUCCCCAACCUCAGGGAAGAUUUUGAAGAACACAGGAAGCUUUCCCCAUGAAAGAAAAACAAAUGAGGCAAUUCUGAUUGUAUCCAAAGUAAACUCUUCUGCCCAACAAGAGACUGUUUACUUCCACUUCUGGUCAGGAUGGAGUCACAGGAUCCAAGCUUAAGCAUCCUGUCCCCUGCACUGUGAUUCCUGGGGACCAGGACAGUCUGGGCACUGAGGCAUGCCUGUGGAGUGGCCCGUUCAGAGAGAACCAUCUGGGGCCAGAGACGUUGACUCAAACAUUGAAGCCUGGCUCCAAGUUGUAUCUUUGGGUCAUACGUGUGGGUGGGAAGUCCCAAAUGCAGGUCUCUUUACCUAGCAUGUCAGUCCAUUCUGGAGGCUCCUUCCCCACCCUUCAGGGUAGCUGUUGAGGGUUUAAUCAGGCUACCCACCCCCAUGGCCAACCCCAGUUUCUUCCCAGGUACUCGGCUCCUCCUUCCUUGCCUCCUGUCCAGGGCCCUGGCUCCAGCUGCUCUGCCCGGCUGAGCGUUACUAUUUUUGGCUGUAACCUAAGCAGCUGCCCAUUAAAAUUCCAUUAGUUUCAAAGGCUGGAGCUGCAGUUGAUAUUUCUAAUUAUUGUGAAAUUAAAAUUGUCUCUGUAAUUUAAUGAUAAUUGCACGAGAUGCCAGCUGGUGCCCCAGGGAGCUGCCCUGUUCCUAAGCAGAACUUGGAAAGUCUCUUGAAAGUUCUUUGAAUAAGGAAACAGGAAGGGGAGGAGGGGGCCGGCACACAGUUGGAAUCUAAAUUUCCGGCAUCAAUAGGCUGUGGUGAACCCAGGCCUCUGAGGAGGCAGCUUGGCUCCCUGAGUCAGUGGGGCUAUAGUGAAAGUGAGUCUCCAAGGAACGGAGUUCUGCUUGAUUUACUGGCCUCUCUUCCAGCCAUGUCUGGAGAACUGACAGGAGGACUGGGGUAAGGGAGCAAUGGCCGGCCCUGAUGAUCCUAGGGUCUCCCUUCAUCCUGGCCUCCUUUAUCCCAACUUGGAGCCCUUCGAAAGCUUGCCGCGUGUGGACACACGUGGCCUCUGCUGCAGACCCUGCAUGCCUCCCUGUCCCCCGCAUACCAUUGCCCUCACUCCUGCUCUGCACUGUUGGGUCUGGGAACCUAAGUCCCUCUCUCAGGAGGCUCCUCAUGCUCGCCCUGUCUCUGAUGCCAGGCCAUGGCACACUUCUGCUGUCCUCACAGGGGCCAUGCUGCUGUCCUGAUGAACUUCCAGUUCUCGUGAGUCUAAGGCUCAGGUCAGAUUCUAUGUUCCACAGGCUGCCAAGGCCCCAUACUCUGGAUGCUACAUGGCCAGUGAUACUCUGUGUUAGCUGUCCCUUGAGGCAGGGCAAGCCCAGGUUCUGACCAUUUGCAGAAUGACGGUUCAGCACAAAGCCAUCUCCCCUAGUGAACUUUACCGAGUGGCAAGAAAGCUCUGUAUGCGGCCAUUUCUGCUCUUGCAUCGUUCUGCGUCUGGGUAUCUGCUCAGGCACACGAUGACUGUUCACCACCCUUCUCCCAGGACAGCCCUGCAGUGGGCAGAGCAGCCCACGUGGCUCCCUAUUCAACUGUCCUUGUCCUUUAAGCCAACUCUGUGCUUAGUUUAGUUGCUAAUUUUUUUUCAAUUUCUACUUCCUGUUAAAACUGUGUUUGGUUGCAGAUAUGAGAACAAUACCGAUCUGGUUUGAACUCACGUCUUAUUUGCAUAAAAAAAAGCAAAGCCGGGGUACCAGCACCACGGUAUCCUCUGACUUUCAUCCUUAAAGUUCCCUUGGAGUGCUAUAAAGCCAGGAGCCAGACGCCUCCACCUCACUCUUUUUGGUGAAGAAAUGAAAGGACAUGAAAAAAAAUAGGAUCUGGCAAGAUGGCUCAGCAGAUUAAAGGCAGUUGCUGCCAAGCUGGACAGCCUGAGUUCGAUUCCCAGAACCCACAUGGUAGAGCAAGGUAAUUGAUUCUUGCAAGUUGUCCUCUGACCUCCACGACAUGUUCAUGCCAAGGCCACCAACACACUGCACACACACACACACACACACACACACACACACACAGAGAGAGAGAGAGAGAGAGAGAGAGAAACCUGUGUCCCUAUUUGAAAAGCCUGUUCCCUAUAUUUUGCAGCAGCUUUCUCGGAUAUCUUGCUGUCACCAUAAAUUUUAAGGGACGUGUGACUGGAUUUAGCUAGGAACAUUGCUGCCCAAAAUAAAGUAAUAAAGAAUGAAUAUUGACAGUGUCAGAAGGUGCUGUGGGCAGGGUCUCCGGAUGACAAGAACCUGGGCAGACCUAGACACAAACUGUAUGGAGUCAGAUAAAUAAACCUGGCCAUUCUGGCCUCCAUGAGGGCAGGGUACAGCCCCCACCCCUGAGCCUGGUACCAGGCCACGACCUAGCACCUCCCAAGCCCUUCAGGAAGGGCCUCCUGGGUCAGUUCACUGCAGGGUCACAGGUAAGCAAGCACCCACUGGGAGAGUGUGUGUAGCAAUUGCCAUUACGGGAACUGGACCUUGAGCCUUUGUGGGACAAGAUUAGGAGCUGAAGUCCAAGGAGAACCGAGUCAUUGCAGAAUUGGAGCGGCCCUGGGUGGCAAUCUCCAGGGACAUCUGGACACCAGGCGUGUCCUGUUGUGUGCAGCUUCUGAUGAACCCAUGACUUCACAGUAAGGUACCAGGGUGGGUGCCAGUGGGGGCAGUGGGGAUAACCAUGCCAUGGGAGCUCCUGGGACAUCUGUACAUCUCCCACUGCCCAUGACCAACAACCCUCUGACCUCCUGUCCUCAUAGCCUCACCUUUGACCCUGCUUGUCCUAGAACACAGAGUGGAGAUUGUGGGAAACGUGGAUUCCAGCAUGUGGAGUAUUCCUCAACUACUGUACAACAGAUCACUACCAGGUACACUCAGGGCAAUGUCUGCUAAGAAGGACCUGUGGAGGUCCCUGGAAGAUGCAGGCAAGGAUGGGUAUCCCUGGAGCAGGUCACCCAGGCCUCCCGCAGGAAGUUCCCACAAGCUUCAGUUCUUGCCUUAUCUCAAGUCUAUCUUACGCAGAACCUCUGUCCAGCCCACGUCACCUGGAUGCUUAAAGCUCUCUUGUCAUGAUUGAUCGUUUUUACCUUAAUAACUGAAUUACUUUCCAAGUCACCCUGCUCAGAAACCUCUGAGAGCCCAAGAUUGCACUUCUUUCUCUAGAAAGAACCUUUAAGUCUCUGUCCCUAACCUUUAAGUUUUGCUCACCUGUAACUGUGUUAGGUCACGAUUUCAGUGCAGCCUCACUUCUUGCCGUUUCUACCUGGACCACUGCUCAUCACUGUCAGGGUCAUUUCUGCCAAGUGUGUGAAAUGUCAGCAGGGCUUCGAGCUGGGCCUCCUUCUCCAUCUACCCCUGAAGACUACAGCAGAGCCUUGGCAACUCCUCCCAGUGGGAGCUGCCAUCUUGGUAACUAUUCCUGUGAGGCUGGACUUCUGGACAGAAUCCUACAUUUAACAACCAGAAACUCUCCCAGCAGCAGCACACACAGAUGCCUGAGGAGCCCUAGCUGGUUACUUCGAGUCAGAAAUUUGUACAAAUAUAAAACAAUGCCACUUUCCUUGCUGAAACCUUGUUUUGGAAAAUACAUUUUUCAUACAAUUGGUCUUGAUGGUAACAUGUAAUAGGUUUAUUGUUCUGAAAUAAAUAACAUUUGCAUGUGUCUAAAGUUGAUUUUUUUAAGGUUUUCUCUAGGUACUAGUGCUGCUGUCUGGAACUCUUCAAAGUUCUCUGGGAUCCUUGAUCACUUUUCUGAGUCACCAGGAUCCGUGAGAUGAUGGUCUGGACUCUACCAUGCUCCAGUGACAUGCUGAGCUGCCCGCUGAGGUGCUGCAUGAACUGUGGAGCUGCCACUUAAAGGAACAUCUCCUCAGAUGGAUCCUUGAAGAGGCUGUUACAGUCCUCUUAGC